Molecule: long non-coding RNA, 5028 nt
Filed under: Sus scrofa (pig)
Lineage: Eukaryota; Metazoa; Chordata; Mammalia; Artiodactyla; Suidae
Description: lncRNA (ENSSSCG00000055818.1)
Source: RNAcentral
UUUUUUUUUUUUUUUUUUUGGCCUCACCCACAGCAUGCAAAGGGAUGCAGGCUAGGGAUUGAACCUGAGCCAUAGCAGUAACCAUAGCCCCAGCGGUGACAACACCAGAUCCUUAACACGCUAAGCAACCAGGGAACUCCAAUAAUACAUUUUUUUUUUUAAAUUCAGGUUAAAAACUUCCAUUAAAUGGUCUUUUUCUUCUUUGCUAUAUCAACUGUGGAACAACUGUAACACUCAUCCUACUAGGCUUUGUGGUGAAACAGUAAGGAUCAAAUUCUGACUCUCCAAAUUUCUGGAAACAAAAACUUGGGCAAGGUAUAUGAUCUCAAUGUAUUACUACAUUAAAAAAAUCUCAAUUUUCUCAUCUGAAAAAUGGGGGCAACGAUGGCUCUUAGCCCUUAGCCCUUGGAGAAGUUUAAAGGAGAUAAGCACAUGCAAAGAGAAAUAGAGAAGUUGUUUAGCAAGAAUUAAUUAUUGUUAAAGAACCUCUUUUUAAAAAUUUUCUCCCUCACCCCUGUCUACAGCUGCCCUCUUGGUGUCUCGAUUUAUCUGGUAGUUCUCUGUCACAUUGUCUGGAUGCAUUUGCUAUAAGCAAGUGCUAAGUCCCUGCAAAGAGACUUCCUCUUAUUCAUAUUUGUAUGUCCCAUGUGUUUGGUGCCAUCUGGGAACCUGUACAGAUUCAAGGUGGAGGAAGGAGCUGGAGGAAUGUGGAAGAUGUGCCUCCCUGGAGGCAUAGCUCUUAUAACCCAGUCUUGCCUCCUUGAGGUCCACAUCCACACCAUAUUUGUCGGAGAUGUUUGGUUGUGUCACAGAACUCUAACUCAAACCAGCAAAAGCAAGGUUUGAUCUGUUGGCUCAGACAACUGGGAAGACAUUUGGGUGGCUUAGAGGACUAAAGCAAGAGCAGGCAGACCUAGAGCCUCAGGGAAUUGAACUGGGAAUUCAGUUCAACCCAUUUGCUUCUCUUGCCAUUUCCAUUUCUGCUUGGUGUGUUCAAACUUUCAAAUACUAGGGAAAAUGGCUCUCUCAUAAUCCCAAACCUAUAACGUUCCAGCUUGGUAAACUCACGCAGGGUGGAAAGAUGGCUUCUUUCCCCCAGCGAUUCUUUAUUAAUCUCAGGAUAAAAAUGGUACAAUUAGCCACUCACCCUGAGUCAAGAGUCUUUUGGACCCUUUUGGACAACCACUGUUGCCAAGUGAAUGAAGUCUUCUGAUUUGUUAGGCCCAGGCCAUGUACCAGUGCCAUGUUCAAGGGCAGCAUGUGGGAAAGGAUGAAGGCAAUAUAUCUUAUGGGUUUCUUAAUAGUCUGAUAAAAAAUAAUUCACUGUACUGGUUCAUUGCAUUUCUCUAGUCUGUGUCUGGGGUUUUCACUCAUAUUUUGGGGGCUGAAAAAUAUCAAAAAUGUAUUAUUUCAUUCCUCACAGUUCUGAUUUUUCCUUCUUUUGUUCUCACAGUGUGAUAGUGAGAAUACUUAUAGGCUAUGCUGCAUGUUGGUGUCCCUACCCUGUGCUACUCCAGAAACAGCACUUGGCACACAUACUUUGUCUUUGCUUAUGAGGCUGAGCAAAUGUGCUCAGAACCUAAGUAACUUGCUCUUUUCAACAGUAUUUCUCUUAUACUUAAGCUAACGCGUGAAACACAGAAAAAACUCAAUAAAUACUUGUUAAAAGAAAGAUGGAGAGUACUCUUUCACAGUGUGAAAUAAAAACACAGAUAUCAGGCAUGUAACUCAGAUUGAGCCGUGGGGGGAAGGGGGGAGUAGGUAUCAGUGACGCUGAGUACUGAAGGCAGCGUAGGAGUAAAGAAAGAGAACAUCUAAGCAGUGGGAAGGUCGGAGUCAGUGUUGUGCCUCUGCUGGCUCCCUUAAGCCUGCAGGAUGUACUCAUCUCUUCCCUACCCCACGUUCAGUGAUUUCACAUUGGCAGCUUGAAAUCAGCUGUAAUGGGAAUAGUUACCAGAGAAUCAGAAUCCUUACAAAGCAAGGCUUCAGCUCUCUUCUCCAGAGAGCUGACAGUUAAACAUUUACCAUGCCCCUGCAUGAAGCAUGAGCAGGACAGAAUAGUGCUACAGAUGAAGCUAGAGAGCAACUCAAAAAACGAAUCAUGAAGGAACUUAUGUGUGAAGUACAAACAUCUGAAUUUCGUAGCUACUGAACAAUUUGAAAGGGAAAAUGCAUGACAUGACUUGCUCAGUACCUGCUAACUAGAGUUCAUCAACAAUAGCUUUGUAUGGCAAACUUGGCAGAAAAUGUUAUAAAUAGUCAUCCUGUAUUAAAUGCUUGCAGUUCUAGGGAAGUUAUUGCCUGUCUAGCAAAUCGAUCUGAGCCAACAGCUUAGCCUAGAGCUAUGCCAGGCCCAACCUAAGCUUGAUUCCAUCAAUACCAAGUGUGGCCACAAUAGCUGCACUGCUUUAAAUCAGUGCCAGUAGCUCAUAUAUCCCAUACAAUACAAGUCUAUUUCCUCUUGCCACCUGGCACAUCACCCUCCGGAAAUGUUGACAUUAGCAAACUUCCAACAAAAGGCUGUCAAGUCUCACCAUAUUUUUUCUUUCCAGUCUAGGUUAUUGCAGGUGUGAUCUUGUCUAGUAGCUGUGGUACAAACUAAAUGGAUUUUUACAUUGCUUUCAAAAUUUAUGAAUAUAUAUAUACAUAUAUAUACACACACACGUAUAAAGGUAUAUUGAAGACAGAGAGAGACUGAGAGAGGGAAGAAGAAAAGAAGGGAAGGAUAGAAGGGAGGGAAGAAAAAGCAAUAAAGUAGUGUUCUUUCUAGGGCUGUAGAGAUAGAAAUCUACAGUGAAAUCAAGAACAGCACGUGAGAGUUGGAUGAAAUGAGGUGCUACACUGGACCCCUCUUUUCAGAGUAAUUGUGUUGUGUUUAGUUUAGGGUUUUGGUUUUUAUGAAAGCAUGAGGUGUCAGCAGCAGAUAGGCUCUUGAAAACUUACUUGACUUCACAGCAAAGAGUUUUCUUCCUUUUCCUAGUUUCUGAUUUCUAAAAGAAGUUUAUAGUGUCUUAGUUCCUGAAUCUGACUCUCUCUUCUCUUGGGGGUCUCUGGCCUUUCUACUGCUCUUUGUAGGAAAUGCUUUGUGUUUAAAAUGACUCUUUUUUACCUGUUUAAACUUUUUAUAGUGUGCCAAGAAAAUUUAUAAUAGAAUCAGGAACUUGAAUUAAUAUUGCUAUCACAAGUUACUCUCCUGGAAAAGUGGGUACAGAACAAUCUAAUGAGGAUAAACUCAAUAAAAAUUUUUCUGUCUUUUGAAAGUGAUCAUCCAAGAAAGUUGGUCAUGGGGCAAAUUUUUGUAAACCAAAAUGUAAGUACCAUUGAACUUAAUAGUAUACGAUCACUUCAAGAAUUAACAAAGACAAGCUUAACUCAAUGUCUGUACUGAAAUUUAAUGGAAUAGAUUCCAUUAUUACUCAAUAAACCUCCUGGCCUCCAAUCGGCAUGAGAAUAGUCUACUUUUAAUUGUUUCUGGAUGUGUGACUCUCUUUGGUCUCCUGUCAGGUACAGUGUUCAUUAUUGCCCUUACCUUUGGGCUGGUCAAUUUUUAUUGACUUGUUUUGGCCAAUACGUUGUUCUCAGGUGUGAAACAAGCAGAAGCUUGAUAUGUACUAGUGUGGUUAAAAUUUCUCUCCUGUAGGUGAGAAGAAAAUAACCUAGGUAAUCUGUUUUUCCCCAGAAGGAUGAGAGACAUGUAGGGCAGAUCUGGAUUCAACUUGCAACUUGGAGCCAAGCCCAGUCUACUCCAGCCUAGAUCAGGCACAGACACAUUAAUGAAAAUAAAUGAUUGUUGUUUCAAGACACUAAGUGUGGGAUGGAUUUGUUACUCAGUAUUAUUGUGGUAAUUGUUGACUGAUACAAACAGUAAAGAUAAAACAAAUCAGUGAAAACAAUGCAAGCAGUCAAUCAGACUGUUGUAUUGCUAGUAUAAACUAGGAAAGCAUGAGUUUCUUGAAGAGAAAACUUUGUACAACAAUCACCAACUUUAUAUCUACAAAGAUGCCUUCAUGCUCUCAUGGUGGUUCUCAUUUUGUCAUGCUCAGAGCAUGCCUUGUAAGAUGGAAAGACAGUCUGAAAUCAAACUUUUAUAAAGUAAUAUUCUUUACAUUUCAAUAGUUAUGUCUCAUACUGUGCUUGGAAAUCAUACUAAAAUGUUAAAAGUAUUUAUCUCUGAAUGGUAGUAUUAUAAAUGUUUUCAUUUUUUCUCCUUAUUUAAAAAUUUUCAAUCAUUAUGUGGAUUAUUGGCAUGCUUUUAAAAUAUUUUAGCUUAUUUUAAACAAAUUUAGCCUGAUUUUCAGAUUAUAGGCUUUGAAGUGAUCACUUGUUUCCACACGGAAAGUUCAGAACUAACAGCAAAAAGAUGGAAAACGUAUAUAAACUGGUACAACCACUAUCGAGAACAGUUUGGAAGUAAACUAUACAUAGAACUACCAUAUGACCCAGCAAUCCCACUCUUGGGCAUAUAUCCAGACAAAACUUUCUGCAUGUUAAUUGCAGCUCUAUUCACAAUAGCCAAGACAUGGAAACAACCCAAAUGUCCAUCGACAGAUGAUUGAAUUAGGAAGAUGUGGUAUAUAUACACAAUGGAAUACUACUCAGCCAUAAAAAAGAACAAAAUAAUGCCAUUUGCAGCAACAUGGAUGGUACUAAAGACUCUCAUACUGAGUGAAGUAAGUCAGAAAGAGAAAGACAAAUACCAUAUGAUAUCACUUAUAUCUGGAGUCUAAUAGAUAGCACAAAUGAGCCUUUCCACAGAAAAGAAAAUCAUGGACUUGGACAAUAGACUUGUGGUUGCCAAGGGAGAGGGGGAGGGAAUGGAAUGGAUUGGGAGCUUGGGGUUAACAGAUGCUGACACUUGCCUUUGGAAUGGAUUAGCAAUGAGAUCCUGCUGUGUAGCACUGGGAAUUAUGUCUAGUCACUUAUGAUGGAGCAUGAUAAUGUGAGAAAAAAGAAUGUAUACAUAUAUGUGUAACUGGGUCACCAUGCUCUAUAGUAGAAAAUUGACAGAACACUGUAAACCAGCUAUAA